AUUGAACGCUGGCGGCAUGCUUUACACAUGCAAGUCGAACGGUAACAGGUCUUCGGAUGCUGACGAGUGGCGAACGGGUGAGUAAUGUAUCGGAACGUGCCCAGUAGUGGGGGAUAACUACUCGAAAGAGUGGCUAAUACCGCAUGAGAACUGAGGUUGAAAGCGGGGGACCUUCGGGCCUCGCGCUACUGGAGCGGCCGAUAUCAGAUUAGGUAGUUGGUGGGGUAAAGGCCUACCAAGCCGACGAUCUGUAGCUGGUCUGAGAGGACGACCAGCCACACUGGGACUGAGACACGGCCCAGACUCCUACGGGAGGCAGCAGUGGGGAAUUUUGGACAAUGGACGCAAGUCUGAUCCAGCAAUGCCGCGUGCAGGACGAAGGCCUUCGGGUUGUAAACUGCUUUUGUACAGAACGAAAGGGACGUCUGGUUAAUACCUGGGGCAGAUGAUGGUACUGUAAGAAUAAGCACCGGCUAACUACGUGCCAGCAGCCG
This 494-nucleotide ribosomal RNA is filed under the name uncultured bacterium. RNAcentral describes it as "bacterial SSU rRNA". It matches the Rfam family "Bacterial small subunit ribosomal RNA", at positions 30 to 517 of the family's 1533-position model. The record is from RNAcentral.